Molecule: long non-coding RNA, 994 nt
Filed under: Panax ginseng (ginseng)
Lineage: Eukaryota; Viridiplantae; Streptophyta; Magnoliopsida; Apiales; Araliaceae
Description: long non-coding RNA (PGIN_LNC017223)
Source: RNAcentral
AAAAUUCAAGGGGAGUUAACUUGAAAUUAUUGGAAACUUGGAGUAGCUCAUGGGGAGUGUUGAGAAUUAAUCAAAAUCAUGUGUAGGUGAGGUGAGUCGAACCGGAGACUCUAUAUGUGGACUGUUUAUUGGCUAGGGCCUAGGGUUCUGUUCACUAUAAAUUAACGGCAAAGCCGUAACUCUCAUUUUUCUUCCGUCUCAUUUCCUCCGCAGUUUUGCUAGGGUUUUGGAAGAGAAGAGAGGCAAAAGAAUUCCAAACUCAUCACCAUGAGGGCCAAGGUAACUCCUCUAUCUCCGAUAUCUAAAUUUAUCAUUUUUGAAUUGAUUUUAGUUCAUAUUUUGAAUUUACCAUUUUCCAUAAAUGGAUAACGAAAUUGAUUGUUUGAAAUUGAAUAUGAUUUUGCAGUGGAAGAAGAAGAGAAUGAGGAGGUUGAAGAGGAAGCGCCGAAAGAUGAGGCAGAGAUCCAAGUAAUUUAUCUGUUAGUCAUCGAUACCCCUCCUGCAGGCUCUCAGUACUGUUCUAGCCUUUAGGCUCUGUUUCAGUUUUCUGUAUUUUUUUUGCUUAUCGCAAGUACUUUUUCUUCGAUUCCGGAAUUCAUGCACCUCAUUUUUCUGGAAAUAUGUUCUCUUUUUUUCUUACUAUUUGUUGGUAAAUUAGAUCUGGUUAUGCUGAUAUGCUGUUUAGAAUGGGACAGUUACAUUUAAACUGUGUUAAUAAUUUCCUAGAUUGAAUACCUUUUCCAUUAAAACACAGAAAAUUUAGUGUUAGGGGGAUGAAAUUUAGCUGUCAUUGCUAGGGAUGUAAAUUUUCAGGCACAAAAUUAUUUAGGCAUAGAUAUAUAAAUUAAUUUUUGUUUGGUAGUUAAGUUUGGCCCCAAGUAAGGGCUUGCAAUGAAAAAUGUUGACAUUGAUGGAUAUACAAUAUCUUGAAGUAGAUUACUGCGAAAGAUUGCUCAUUUGGAUUUUAAACAGUUCCCUUACGGUUGGAUCAUGA